This 770-nucleotide ribosomal RNA is filed under the name uncultured soil bacterium. RNAcentral describes it as "bacterial SSU rRNA". It matches the Rfam family "Bacterial small subunit ribosomal RNA", at positions 8 to 787 of the family's 1533-position model. The record is from RNAcentral.
AGAGUUUGAUCCUGGCUCAGGACGAACGCUGGCGGCGUGCUUAACACAUGCAAGUCGAGGGCGUGGGGUAACCCACGACCGGCGAACGGGUGCGUAACACGUGAGCGACCUGCCCAUCUCGUGGGGGAUAGCCGGCCCAACGGCCGGGUAAUACCGCAUACGCUUGGCCUGGGGCAUUCCGGGCCAAGGAAACUUCCGGGGCGGAUGGAGGGGCUCGCGGCCUAUCAGCUAGUUGGCGGGGUAACGGCCCACCAAGGCGACGACGGGUAGCUGGUCUGAGAGGAUGGCCAGCCACAUUGGGACUGAGAGACGGCCCAGACUCCUACGGGAGGCAGCAGUGGGGAAUAUUGCGCAAUGGCCGCAAGGCUGACGCAGCGACGCCGCGUGGGGGAGGAAGGUCUUCGGAUUGUAAACCCCUGUUGCCCGGGACGAACGAACGGUUUCGACCGUUGUGACGGUACCGGGUGAGGAAGCACCGGCUAACUCCGUGCCAGCAGCCGCGGUAAUACGGAGGGUGCGAGCGUUGUCCGGAAUCACUGGGCGUAAAGGGCGCGUAGGCGGUCUGCUAAGCGUGCGGUGAAAGCUCGGGGCUUAACUCCGAGUCGGCCGUGCGAACUGGCGGACUGGAGCACUGUAGAGGCGGGUGGAAUUCCGGGUGUAGCGGUGGAAUGCGUAGAGAUCCGGAAGAACACCGGUGGCGAAGGCGGCCCGCUGGGCAGUGGCUGACGCUGAGGCGCGACAGCGUGGGGAGCAAACAGGAUUAGAUACCC